RNAcentral lists this ribosomal RNA (253 nucleotides) under uncultured bacterium. RNAcentral's name for it is "partial 16S ribosomal RNA". It matches the Rfam family "Bacterial small subunit ribosomal RNA", at positions 524 to 776 of the family's 1533-position model. The record is from RNAcentral.
UACGUAGGGGGCAAGCGUUGUCCGGAAUCAUUGGGCGUAAAGAGCGUGUAGGCGGCCCGGUAAGUCCGUUGUGAAAGUCCAGGGCUCAACCCUGGAAAGCCGAUGGAUACUGCCGGGCUAGAGUUCGGAAGAGGCGAGUGGAAUUCCUGGUGUAGCGGUGGAAUGCGCAGAUAUCAGGAGGAACACCUAUAGCGAAGGCAGCUCGCUGGGACGACACUGACGCUAAGACGCGAAAGCGUGGGGAGCAAACAGG